This 821-nucleotide long non-coding RNA is filed under the name Triticum aestivum (bread wheat). RNAcentral describes it as "long non-coding RNA (TAES_LNC014076)". The record is from RNAcentral. Lineage: Eukaryota; Viridiplantae; Streptophyta; Magnoliopsida; Poales; Poaceae.
CAGACUGGUGCAGCCCAGACGAAAAGUAUACAUGAAAUAGACACAAGAUGUAGUUCUAAGUAUUUAUUAAUGGAAUUGAUCUACGGUUGAAACAAACUGUGAGUGAAAAGGGGGAGCCUUUUGACCCCAGGUGUGCAAUGAUCGGAAGCACACCACACAUCCACACGUUUGGUUUUGGUCCCAUGUACCCAGCACACGCACAUAUAUAAGAAAAAGGGGGUUUUCAUUAUGGAUAACAGAACCAAGAUCUAAACCCACCUAACUGCCGAUCCUGAAUAUGUGCUGAGAUACGUGAAGGCCAUCUCCACCACCGGCCACCGCAGAGUUGUGCCUGCGGCAACCCUGUUGCCGUCAUCGUCACCAUGGUGCUUCUUCCCCAACAUCUCCUCGCUACUAGAGACGCAAAGGUGCGGCCGUGGGCUACACAGGGUCUGCAUUGACGCAGGAGAUAUCGCGAAGUACCUGUAAAUUUGUAUGCUUCCGCAUAAAGUUGUUGAUCUAGUCUAAGAUUAGGAACUUACAUUGAUUAGCCUAAAGGCUAAUUUGUCUAACAUUGAUAUCUCGAGCCUACCUAAUCUGGCUAGAACACUAAUCAGGCCUUCCAAUGGCAAAUUAAAGAAGUGAGAAGGAGGGGAAAUCGCGUCAAAUCAAAGAAAUCUGAAUGGCAAAUUACCCCUAAUCCCCAAAUCCCAGCCCAGAUAUAUAUCUUUUAAAGGAAGAGGGACUGGGACUUGUGUUGUUGAUGCCGGCCAUCGUGCGUACUCACCAUGCAUUGGCCAGAACGACUGCGUCCUUCGGGACGACAGCCGGGAUUAUGCGCG